Molecule: long non-coding RNA, 3032 nt
Organism: Anas platyrhynchos (mallard)
Lineage: Eukaryota; Metazoa; Chordata; Aves; Anseriformes; Anatidae
Source: RefSeq, a predicted model, not a curated record
CCCCAGAGCUUCCUGGGGCUUUCCCUUUGUUCUGGCUCUUGCCUGGCAACCUAUUUUAGCUCGGACAGAAUUGACCCCACUUAUGUGGCACUUAACAACAAAUUAUAGCCAGCAAUUUGGAGCUUCUGUCGUUUGUUAUUUAAAUGUAUUUAUUCCUGGUUAUCACCCUACUACUGCAGCCUCAGAAGCUGGGAUAAAGGCAGCAAUUAGCAAAGCAAAACCUACAUGCAAUUUACUCCUGGUGUAAUAGCUCAGGGCGACUGGGGCAUGACUCCAGCUGCAUGCAGGUAGGAUGAAGUCUUUUCCAUCCUGUGCCGCCCUAGACUGCACCCUGCGUGUCCUCCAAGAGCAGUUCAGCUGAGGAGUCUUCUAGCUGUCACCUCUUAGGUCCUCCCAGCCACCCUGCAGCACUCCCACUACAGAGCCAGUGGCUCUGUUAGAAGACAGCUCAGUGUCUUCUCCUAGGGAGAGACCUUCUCUGAGCCUUUGCUCUCCCAUGGCUUUCAACAGGAUUCCUCAUUGCUCUUGUACGCAAACAGGACGGGUGGAAAUUUGCUCUUGAUAUUUUGAUGAUAACUACAUGAAUUCAGCAGAUGGGGCUUAAAGAAAACAUACCAGAAACCACUUGACCAGGUCAGAAGCCUCAUGACACAUGCUCUCAGCGCCCUAUGGUCAUGGGCUGUUACAGUCUUCCCUUUGGUUAGGGUGGUGAUGACAGAUGAAGCUUUGAUUUUUCUUUGUGAAUAAACCACCAUGAUUCCAAGUACAUUGGCAGUCCAGAGCCCACUCACAAGGCACUACUAAGCAACUAGGGACAGAGACAGUAAUGGAUGCUUCAGGUCCAACAGGAUAACUCUUCUAUACCAUGAUGGGUUUAAUCCUGGCCUAGCUCAGGAUGUGGACCUCUGAAAAAAGCUGCAGUGGUCUAAAGGAUCCUCAGCCUGGUAUCCACCAUAGGCUGGGUUGGUCAUCAGCCAUGCCCAAACUGAUGUGUGAUGGGUCAUCCAUUGACAGACUGAUGUUCAGAAAGUGGAGACUGGCUGCAACUCAGUGAACCCGGUGUCCAAAUGGAUGGACCAACCCAAACUGGAUCUGAUGGGACACCAGGCUGAUUUGCAUAGAGAGGCUGAGUCCAUCCCACUUGCACCCAAGCUGGGUCUAGCAGAUCUUUAUACGUCCCUACAGGGGUCUGGCAUGCUUACUGGGCUAUCUGCCAAUUUUCUGCACAUAUUCCCUUAUUGCUCUUAAGCAAAAAAAAUUUCUGGCAGUUCUUGCCAAAGAUGGGUGGAUUGUUUCCAACUUGGCUGCAAGCUAUGGGUUUGACAGGUAGUCAUCAGCUGCUGUUUUACAAUGGUGACAAGCUUCAGUGGGUAAUGAGGAGCACAGACAGCAUCCCCCAAGUUCUCAGGCACGUUGGUCUGAUUGCAGACCACACCAGCCUAUUGUGAUCAAUGACUGAACCCUUACGUGGGAUAUCUUUUGGUAGAUGGCACCAGUGGAAGUCAAUGCAUAGAUGGUUUCACUGUUUCAAAAGAUCAUUUAUUUCCCUUCCAAAUACACACACACACCAUGUAGGUCAAGACAAUCAUUGAUAUAACUCCGGCAUUUCCAAAUUUUGCCCACUACAUUUAGAAUAAAAUGUGUCAACAUAAGAGGUCUAUUUCAGGUGCCUCAUUAUCUGUGCUAACGGCACAUUGAGCUGUGUUCUUUGCUCUGUGCUGGCAUAUGUAUCCCUUCCUCCAUGGCCUGGAUCUUGAGGUCCAGGCUACAUACUCUACACUCACUGCUGAAACAAUGCACUGACUUUUAUAUUUAUUCAGGGAACCAUGUGACUGUAAGAUCCACACGUGGUAAUUCAACAGAAAAAUUAUACUAAACCUCAAAGGGAUGGAGCCUUUAUUUGAGCUGAUACAUUCUGAGUAACACUCGUUAGGAAAGUAAUUUGGAUUCUCCCUUGAGAGAUCUGGCUGUGUGAUAGGUACAUCAGAGAUAAAAGGAAGACUAGGGAAAUUGUGGGCCCUGUCCGGAAGGAGACGGGAGACCUGGUCACUUGGGAUAUGGAGAAGGCUGAGUUACUCAGUGACUUUUUUGGCUUGGUUGUCACUGGCAAGAGCUCCAGCUCCAUGAUCUGGCAAUGUGCGCUUGCAGUCCAGAAAGCCAACCAUAUCCUGGGCGGCACCAAAAGCAGUGUGGCCAGCAGGCUGAGGGAGGUGAUUUGUCCCCUCUGUUCUCCUAAGACCCCACCUGGAGCCCUAUGUUCAGCUCUCAGGCCCCUGGCUCUCAGGCCCCCAGCAGCGAGCUGCUUUCUGCCCCUGUCCACCACAUACUUCUACUGUAGGACUCCUCUGCCUUCUCACUGUAGCAGUGUCCCCAGACAAACCUGUCCCUUUCAAGAUCUUCUCCCCACCUCCCUGACAGACCCAUCCCUGACUUAUUGCUUUCCCUGUUCCCACACCCUGGCUUUUAACACAAGGCUCUGUAAUUGUGUGUUGGAUGCACAGAGCACUUCCCCUGUGAAAUCUCCUGAGCAUGCAGCUCCACAUCAGGUAGAGCCCAGCUGGGACUGGCCAACUCUCAGACAACUCAACUCUGUGUGAAUCAAAGAUAUCAGCCUUGUAAAUCCAGGCACUUACCUGAGCUGUGUGCUUCAGGAGUACACAGCCCAGCUCUCAGCCAUUUCCAGUGUUCCCAGUUGUGUGAUGGCCAUGACAGUGUGGGCUGGUCACCUUUCUCUGCAUGGUGUCGUCUCACCUUGAUGUAGAUGAUGCUCAAGCAAUCAAUUUUCUACAUGUGGGCUUCAAAGCUGUGGUACAAGGCUGACCUGCAGUGUAUGGGCUUUUUGCAUACAUGCUGGGUCCCUGCCUGUAGAAAUGAGCAGCAGCAGGACUGGUGGUGACACAGUGGCAGCCAGGGACACCCAGGCAGCUGAGAGACCUCCUGUGGCAGAUGCUGUGAGUGCACAGCCGUGCAGGGACCAGCUGCUUGCACCACAGCACAACUCAGUGAUUUGGGGAAGUUAAAACCGAAGCAAA